CCUUCGGGGUGAUUUGUUGGACCCUAGCGGCGGAUGGGUGAGUAACACCUGGGCAAUCCGCCCUAAAGACUGGGAGACCACUUGGAAACAGGUGCUAAUACCGGAUAACAACAUGAAUCGCAUGAUUCAAGUUUGAAAGGCGGCGUAAGCUGUCACUUUAGGAUGAGCCCACGGCGCAUUAACUAGUUGGUGGGGUAAAGGCCUACCAAGGCAAUGAUGCGUACCCGAGUUGAGAGACUGAUCGGCCACAUUGGGACUGAGACACGGCCCAAACUCCUACGGGAGGCAGCAGUAGGGAAUCUUCCACAAUGGACGCAAGUCUGAUGGAGCAACGCCCCGUGAGUGAAGAAGGUUUUCCGAUCUUAAAGCUCUGUUGUUGGUGAAGAAGGAUAGAGGCAAUAACUGGUCUUUAUUUGACGGUAAUCAACC
This 429-nucleotide ribosomal RNA is filed under the name Lactobacillus delbrueckii subsp. bulgaricus. Its description in RNAcentral is "bacterial SSU rRNA". It matches the Rfam family "Bacterial small subunit ribosomal RNA", at positions 63 to 484 of the family's 1533-position model. The record is from RNAcentral. Lineage: Bacteria; Bacillati; Bacillota; Bacilli; Lactobacillales; Lactobacillaceae.